RNAcentral lists this transfer RNA (131 nucleotides) under Candidatus Burarchaeum sp. RNAcentral's name for it is "tRNA-Ile". It matches the Rfam family "tRNA". From Rfam's summary of the family: Transfer RNA (tRNA) molecules are approximately 80 nucleotides in length. Lineage: Archaea; Nanobdellati; Microcaldota; Candidatus Micrarchaeia; Candidatus Burarchaeales; Candidatus Burarchaeaceae. The record is from RNAcentral.
GGGCCUGUAGCUCAGUCUGGUCAGAGCGGCGGUCUUAUAAGCCGUAGGUCAGGAGUUCAAUGCAAAGGGGGCACGUCAAGACGCCCCCUUUGCUCAACCCCACUCGGGGCGAACAAAUCCCCUCAGGCCCA